UUGGAUGAAAGGUAGAAGAAGCUUGUUGGAUUUUUUGAAGAAGUUGGGGACCUUCCGUUCUAUGCGAUGCAAAGGUUGCCACUGUUGUUUUCUGUAUUAGGGACACAACAAUGAUGUUGAGAUUGUAUGGUCUUGUGGGUGAAGUAUUCACAUUUGAGGGGAGAAAAUAUCACCGGCUAUAUUAUUAUUUUUGUUGGAAAUUCAUUUUGCGGGACAAAAUAUUUAUGGGUGAAUUGUGUUAGAUGCAGAGAAUUUGCAUGAAGAGCUUGUAACAUAGAACAUGCUUACCAAUUAUAGUUUUAACAUAUAAUUUCUUCAUGUGCCAA
This is a non-coding RNA of Nicotiana tabacum (common tobacco), 326 nucleotides long. Lineage: Eukaryota; Viridiplantae; Streptophyta; Magnoliopsida; Solanales; Solanaceae. The record is from RefSeq and is a predicted model, not a curated record.